Molecule: ribosomal RNA, 486 nt
Filed under: uncultured bacterium
Lineage: Bacteria
Description: partial 16S ribosomal RNA
Rfam family: Bacterial small subunit ribosomal RNA
Source: RNAcentral
AUUGAACGCUGGCGGCAUGCCUUACACAUGCAGGUCGAACGGCAGCACGGGUGCUUGCGCCUGGUGGCGAGUGGCGGACGGGUGAGUAAUACAUCGGAACAUGUCCUGGAGGGGGGGAUAGCCCGGCGAAAGCCGGAUUAAUACCGCAUACGAUCGACGGAUGAAAGCGGGGGACCUUCGGGCCUCGCGCUAUCGGGUUGGCCGAUGGCUGAUUAGCUAGUUGGUGGGGUAAAGGCCUACCAAGGCGACGAUCAGUAGCUGGUCUGAGAGGACGACCAGCCACACUGGGACUGAGACACGGCCCAGACUCCUACGGGAGGCAGCAGUGGGGAAUUUUGGACAAUGGGCGAAAGCCUGAUCCAGCAAUGCCGCGUGUGUGAAGAAGGCCUUCGGGUUGUAAAGCACUUUUGUCCGGAAAGAAAUCCUUGGCUCUAAUACAGUCGGGGGAUGACGGUACCGGAAGAAUAAGCACCGGCUAACUACGUG